RNAcentral lists this non-coding RNA (31 nucleotides) under Rattus norvegicus (Norway rat). The record is from RNAcentral. Lineage: Eukaryota; Metazoa; Chordata; Mammalia; Rodentia; Muridae.
UGAAGAUUGCUCUUUGAGUCUCACUUGAGGA